GAGUUUGAUCAUGGCUCAGAUUGAACGCUGACGGCAGGCCUUACACAUGCAAGUCGAGCGGAAACGAAGAGUGUUUACACUCUGGCGUCGAGCGGCGGACGGGUGAGUAAUGCCUAGGAAGUUGCCCAGUAGUGGGGGAUAACCAUUGGAAACGAUGGCUAAUACCGCAUACGCUUAUGCUUUAUUGCAUAAGGAAAGGAGGGGACCUUCGGGCCUUUCGCUAUUGGAUACGCCUAGGUGAGAUUAGCUAGUUGGUGAGGUAAGGGCUCACCAAGGCGACGAUCUCUAGCUGGUCUGAGAGGAUGAUCAGCCACACUGGGACUGAGACACGGCCCAGACUCCUACGGGAGGCAGCAGUGGGGAAUAUUGCACAAUGGGCGAAAGCCUGAUGCAGCCAUGCCGCGUGUGUGAAGAAGGCCUUCGGGUUGUAAAGCACUUUCACUGGCGAGGAAGGGUAUAUUGUUAAUACCAAUUUAUUUUGACGUUAACCAGAGAAGAAGCACCGGCUACUCCGUGCCAGCAGCCGCGGUAAUACGGAGGGUGCGAGCGCUAAUCGGAAUUACUGGGCGUAAAGCGCAUGCAGGUGGAUAAGUAAGUCAGAUGUGAAAGCCCGGGGCUUAACUCCGGAAAGUCAUUUGAAACUGUUUAUCUAGAGUACUGUAGAGGGGGGUAGAAUUUCA
This 680-nucleotide ribosomal RNA is filed under the name uncultured Vibrionaceae bacterium. Its description in RNAcentral is "bacterial SSU rRNA". It matches the Rfam family "Bacterial small subunit ribosomal RNA", at positions 9 to 671 of the family's 1533-position model. Lineage: Bacteria; Pseudomonadati; Pseudomonadota; Gammaproteobacteria; Vibrionales; Vibrionaceae. The record is from RNAcentral.